UGCAAAGUCGUCAAGAUGGGCAAUGGAACGGGUUUAGUUUUCCUAAAAUCCAUGGACCAUGGUAAAUUGAGCCACUGGCUACUAAAAUAAUAGUUCCCAAUUUUGCCAAAAGCCUCUCGUCUCAUCAGACUUGACCUCUUUGUGAGGAGGUCAUAGUUCGUGAUCGCAAGCUGUUGCCGAUGGUUAUACCGGAAGCGAAGAUUAAGUUACGCCAUACGUCGGAAUGAAAAUGUCGGCAUGGACAAGCGCACCUCCUAUUUUGGUUCCCAUUGCAUC
Molecule: long non-coding RNA, 276 nt
Filed under: Eucalyptus grandis
Lineage: Eukaryota; Viridiplantae; Streptophyta; Magnoliopsida; Myrtales; Myrtaceae
Description: long non-coding RNA (EGRA_LNC004341)
Source: RNAcentral